RNAcentral lists this transfer RNA (74 nucleotides) under Lentilactobacillus buchneri. Its description in RNAcentral is "Lactobacillus buchneri tRNA-Ile". It matches the Rfam family "tRNA". Rfam says of the family: Transfer RNA (tRNA) molecules are approximately 80 nucleotides in length. Their secondary structure includes four short double-helical elements and three loops (D, anti-codon, and T loops). Further hydrogen bonds mediate the characteristic L-shaped molecular structure. tRNAs have two regions of fundamental functional importance: the anti-codon, which is responsible for specific mRNA codon recognition, and the 3' end, to which the tRNAs corresponding amino acid is attached (by aminoacyl-tRNA synthetases). tRNAs cope with the degeneracy of the genetic code in two manners: having more than one tRNA (with a specific anti-codon) for a particular amino acid; and 'wobble' base-pairing, i.e. permitting non-standard base-pairing at the 3rd anti-codon position. The record is from RNAcentral. Lineage: Bacteria; Bacillati; Bacillota; Bacilli; Lactobacillales; Lactobacillaceae.
GGGCCUAUAGCUCAGCUGGUUAGAGCGCACGCCUGAUAAGCCUGAGGUCGAUGGUUCGAGUCCAUUUAGGCCCA